UACAGAGAGUGCGAACGUUGUUCGGAAUUACUGGGCUUAAAGCGCACGUAGGCGGCGCCGCAAGUGUUGGGUGAAAUCCCACGGCUUACCCGUGGAACCGCCUGGCAGACUGCGGUGCUAGAGGAUGGUAGGGGAGAGCGGAACUCCUGGUGGAGCGGUGAAAUGCGUAGAUAUCAGGAGGAACACCGGUGGCGAAGGCGGCUCUCUGGUCCAUUUCUGACGCUGAGGUGCGAAAGCUAGGGGAGCAAACGGG
Molecule: ribosomal RNA, 253 nt
Filed under: uncultured bacterium
Lineage: Bacteria
Description: partial 16S ribosomal RNA
Rfam family: Bacterial small subunit ribosomal RNA
Source: RNAcentral